CGGGUGAGUAACACGUAGGUAACCUACCCAUGUGCCCGGGAUAACUUCUGGAAACGGAUGCUAAAACCGGAUAGGUAGCAGACAAGCAUUUGACUGCUAUUAAAGUGGCUAAGGCCAUGAACAUGGAUGGACCUGCGGUGCAUUAGCUAGUUGGUGAGGUAACGGCCCACCAAGGCGACGAUGCAUAGCCGGCCUGAGAGGGCGGACGGCCACAUUGGGACUGAGACACGGCCCAAACUCCUACGGGAGGCAGCAUG
Molecule: ribosomal RNA, 257 nt
Filed under: uncultured bacterium
Lineage: Bacteria
Description: partial 16S ribosomal RNA
Rfam family: Bacterial small subunit ribosomal RNA
Source: RNAcentral